CCUCACUCAGUCAACAAAUAUUAAACGCCCCUAAAGUGUCAGGCAUGAUGCUAAACAUUUGGUGAUGUACCAAAAAAGGCAAAAAACAGUCCUCGAUGCCAGGAGCUCUCAGUCUAAUAGGGGAUGUCAUGAAACAACUCUGGACAGACAAGAUAAAAAACGAGGCAAAUUGGAAGACAUCAGCCGAGGGAAGGUAUUAGCAUCAAGGGGAAUUGGGAAAGGCUUCUUGUAAAAGGAGACUUAACAGCUAGAAUGAUAAUGAAGCACAAGUGUCAGGAGCCAGGACUGCCAAAUAAGCCUGGAGGAAGGAUCCUAUGACACUGUCUUGGUGCUGCCGCCCCAACAUGACCCAUUGCCAGUAAGAAGGCCAGAGAAAGCCUCCAGGCUUUCCUCCAGGAGUUUCUGUGUGUCUAGCAGGGCAUUUCCCCUCCCUGGGUAGCAGGGAUGCUACAGGUGCCAGGAACUUUCUGUAUAGCACACCUCAUCUUUAAAUCGUCAUUUGGCAAGCCAGUGCACUUUGAAAAGAGAGACUGAGAUUGUGCUUUUCUCUUUUGGCCCAUCCUGUCCCAAACCUAGGUAUGAUCAAUUUUUGAGAUGCUCAUAAAAAAAGAAAAUGCUCCAUUCACAACUUUCUUCUAAAUAGUAAUCUCUUCCAUUUUGGGGUGUGUGUGUAUGGAUGUGCAUGAGUGUGUGUUCUCUAUCUAUACUUGUAUAGUUAGAUAGAAAGGUUCACUCCAUGUCCUAGUGAUACACAAUGACCACAGUCCAUCUCCAGUCCCCAGAUUUAGUUACACAUCAUCCCAUGGAGGUGAAGACUUGAGCCCUCCAAGUUGCACUUUUGCCUUUUUCCAUGAAUUACCUCAUGAACUCCAUUCACCCUUAGACUCAUUGUCAGCCAACAUCCCACCCUUCAGUGAAAGCAGCAAAAGACCAACAGCAAGUCUGUGUGAGCUUCCUUUUUUUUAUCCCCUAUUAUUUUUUACAUUUGGGAAAUGUUUGUAAUAAAGAUUGUCCUUAAUAAACCUGG
Molecule: long non-coding RNA, 1027 nt
Organism: Monodelphis domestica (gray short-tailed opossum)
Lineage: Eukaryota; Metazoa; Chordata; Mammalia; Didelphimorphia; Didelphidae
Source: RefSeq, a predicted model, not a curated record